UACGGGGGGAGCAAGCGUUGUUCGGAUUUACUGGGCGUAAAGAGCUCGUAGGCGGCUUGUCACGUCGGGUGUGAAAGCCCGGGGCUUAACCCCGGGUCUGCAUUCGAUACGGGCUAGCUAGAGUGUGGUAGGGGAGAUCGGAAUUCCUGGUGUAGCGGUGAAAUGCGCAGAUAUCAGGAGGAACACCGGUGGCGAAGGCGGAUCUCUGGGCCAUUACUGACGCUGAGGAGCGAAAGCGCGGGGAGCGAACAGG
Molecule: ribosomal RNA, 253 nt
Filed under: uncultured bacterium
Lineage: Bacteria
Description: partial 16S ribosomal RNA
Rfam family: Bacterial small subunit ribosomal RNA
Source: RNAcentral